RNAcentral lists this ribosomal RNA (1029 nucleotides) under Salmonella enterica subsp. enterica serovar Infantis. RNAcentral's name for it is "partial 23S ribosomal RNA". It matches the Rfam family "Bacterial large subunit ribosomal RNA", at positions 634 to 1583 of the family's 2925-position model. Lineage: Bacteria; Pseudomonadati; Pseudomonadota; Gammaproteobacteria; Enterobacterales; Enterobacteriaceae. The record is from RNAcentral.
UCUGUAGCAAGGUUAACCGUAUAGGGGAGCCGGAGGGAAACCGAGUCUUAACCGGGCGUUAAGUUGCAGGGUAUAGACCCGAAACCCGGUGAUCUAGCCAUGGGCAGGUUGAAGGUUGGGUAACACUAACUGGAGGACCGAACCGACUAAUGUUGAAAAAUUAGCGGAUGACCUGUGGCUGGGGGUGAAAGGCCAAUCAAACCGGGAGAUAGCUGGUUCUCCCCGAAAGCUAUUUAGGUAGCGCCUCGUGAAUUCAUCUCCGGGGGUAGAGCACUGUUUCGGCUAGGGGGCCAUCCCGGCUUACCAACCCGAUGCAAACUGCGAAUACCGGAGAAUGUUAUCACGGGAGACACACGGCGGGUGCUAACGUCCGUCGUGAAGAGGGAAACAACCCAGACCGCCAGCUAAGGUCCCAAAGUCAUGGUUAAGUGGGAAACGAUGUGGGAAGGCCCAGACAGCCAGGAUGUUGGCUUAGAAGCAGCCAUCAUUUAAAGAAAGCGUAAUAGCUCACUGGUCGAGUCGGCCUGCGCGGAAGAUGUAACGGGGCUAAACCAUGCACCGAAGCUGCGGCAGCGAACGUAUCACUUAAAGCGAUUCAGCGGGUUACGAUUGACGGAGCGAAGCGACGUCAAAGCGUAUACAAAGUCGAGUCGGUUUAAGGAUACGUUCGUUGGGUAGGGGAGCGUUCUGUAAGCCUGUGAAGGUGUGUCGUGAGGCAUGCUGGAGGUAUCAGAAGUGCGAAUGCUGACAUAAGUAACGAUAAAGCGGGUGAAAAGCCCGCUCGCCGGAAGACCAAGGGUUCCUGUCCAACGUUAAUCGGGGCAGGGUGAGUCGACCCCUAAGGCGAGGCCGAAAGGCGUAGUCGAUGGGAAACGGGUUAAUAUUCCCGUACUUGGUGUUACUGCGAAGGGGGGACGGAGAAGGCUAUGUUGGCCGGGCGACGGUUGUCCCGGUUUAAGCGUGUAGGUGUGUGUUCCAGGUAAAUCCGGUUCACUUUAACACUGAGGCGUGAUGACGAGGCACUACGGU